GGGGUAGGAACUUUUUAUCAAUGUCAAGGAUAAUCCUUGCUUUUUUGAGUGGAUUCAUUUAUUUAUGCCUGGUGCAGAUCAUUAAACAAAUACCACUAAUUUCACUUUUCCCAGUAAUAUUUUAUUUUCCAAAGUGUCUAUUAUAAUGCAUAUUCUUUCUUUACAAAUUCCUAUCUAAAAUCUUGAUAAAUGACAAGUAAAUAGCACGAAAUAAAAAUAUUGAGAUUGUUUGGAACUCUAAGCAAUAAAAAAUAAGGAAUAAAAAAAUACUCCAAG
Molecule: long non-coding RNA, 276 nt
Filed under: Amborella trichopoda
Lineage: Eukaryota; Viridiplantae; Streptophyta; Magnoliopsida; Amborellales; Amborellaceae
Description: long non-coding RNA (ATRI_LNC003440)
Source: RNAcentral